UAGGGAAUCUUCGGCAAUGGGGGGAACCCUGACCGAGCAACGCCGCGUGAGUGAAGAAGGUUUUCGGAUCGUAAAACUCUGUUGUUAGAGAAGAACAGCGCAUAGAGUAACUGUUAUGCGUGUGACGGUAUCUAACCAGAAAGCCACGGCUAACUACGUGCCAGCAGCCGCGGUAAUACGUAGGUGGCAAGCGUUGUCCGGAUUUAUUGGGCGUAAAGCGAGCGCAGGCGGUCAAUUAAGUCUGAUGUGAAAGCCCCCGGCUCAACCGGGGAGGGUCAUUGGAAACUGGUUGACUUGAGUGCAGAAGAGGAGAGUGGAAGUCCGUGUGUAGCGGUGAAAUGCGUAGAUAUAUGGAGAAACACCAGUGGCGAAGGCGACUCUCUGGUCUGUAACUGACGCUGAGGCUCGAAAGCGUGGGUAGCAAACAGG
This 429-nucleotide ribosomal RNA is filed under the name Bacteroidota bacterium. RNAcentral describes it as "Bacteroidetes bacterium partial 16S ribosomal RNA". It matches the Rfam family "Bacterial small subunit ribosomal RNA", at positions 355 to 776 of the family's 1533-position model. The record is from RNAcentral. Lineage: Bacteria; Pseudomonadati; Bacteroidota.